AGAUUAAGUUAUUAAGGGCGCACGGUGGAUGCCUUGGCACUAGAAGCCGAUGAAGGACGUUACUAACGACGAUAUGCUUUGGGGAGCUGUAAGUAAGCUUUGAUCCAGAGAUUUCCGAAUGGGGAAACCCAGCAUGAGUUAUGUCAUGUUAUCGAUAUGUGAAUACAUAGCAUAUCAGAAGGCACACCCGGAGAACUGAAACAUCUUAGUACCCGGAGGAAGAGAAAGAAAAUUCGAUUCCCUUAGUAGCGGCGAGCGAAACGGGAAGAGCCCAAACCAACAAGCUUGCUUGUUGGGGUUGUAGGACACUCUAUACGGAGUUACAAAGGACGACAUUAGACGAAUCAUCUGGAAAGAUGAAUCAAAGAAGGUAAUAAUCCUGUAGUCGAAAAUGUUGUCUCUCUUGAGUGGAUCCUGAGUACGACGGAGCACGUGAAAUUCCGUCGGAAUCUGGGAGGACCAUCUCCUAAGGCUAAAUACUCUCUAGUGACCGAUAGUGAACCAGUACCGUGAGGGAAAGGUGAAAAGCACCCCGGAAGGGGAGUGAAAUAGAACCUGAAACCGUGUGCUUACAAGUAGUCAGAGCCCGUUAAUGGGUGAUGGCGUGCCUUUUGUAGAAUGAACCGGCGAGUUACGAUUUGAUGCAAGGUUAAGCAGUAAAUGUGGAGCCGUAGCGAAAGCGAGUCUGAAUAGGGCGUUUAGUAUUUGGUCGUAGACCCGAAACCAGGUGAUCUACCCUUGGUCAGGUUGAAGUUCAGGUAACACUGAAUGGAGGACCGAACCGACUUACGUUGAAAAGUGAGCGGAUGAACUGAGGGUAGCGGAGAAAUUCCAAUCGAACCUGGAGAUAGCUGGUUCUCUCCGAAAUAGCUUUAGGGCUAGCCUCAAGUGAUGAUUAUUGGAGGUAGAGCACUGUUUGGACGAGGGGCCCCUCUCGGGUUACCGAAUUCAGACAAACUCCGAAUGCCAAUUAAUUUAACUUGGGAGUCAGAACAUGGGUGAUAAGGUCCGUGUUCGAAAGGGAAACAGCCCAGACCACCAGCUAAGGUCCCAAAAUAUAUGUUAAGUGGAAAAGGAUGUGGCGUUGCCCAGACAACUAGGAUGUUGGCUUAGAAGCAGCCAUCAUUUAAAGAGUGCGUAAUAGCUCACUAGUCGAGUGACACUGCGCCGAAAAUGUACCGGGGCUAAACAUAUUACCGAAGCUGUGGAUUGUCCUUUGGACAAUGGUAGGAGAGCGUUCUAAGGGCGUUGAAGCAUGAUCGUAAGGACAUGUGGAGCGCUUAGAAGUGAGAAUGCCGGUGUGAGUAGCGAAAGACGGGUGAGAAUCCCGUCCACCGAUUGACUAAGGUUUCCAGAGGAAGGCUCGUCCGCUCUGGGUUAGUCGGGUCCUAAGCUGAGGCCGACAGGCGUAGGCGAUGGAUAACAGGUUGAUAUUCCUGUACCACCUAUAAUCGUUUUAAUCGAUGGGGGGACGCAGUAGGAUAGGCGAAGCGUGCGAUUGGAUUGCACGUCUAAGCAGUAAGGCUGAGUAUUAGGCAAAUCCGGUACUCAUUAAGGCUGAGCUGUGAUGGGGAGAAGACAUUGUGUCUUCGAGUCGUUGAUUUCACACUGCCGAGAAAAGCCUCUAGAUAGAAAAUAGGUGCCCGUACCGCAAACCGACACAGGUAGUCAAGAUGAGAAUUCUAAGGUGAGCGAGCGAACUCUCGUUAAGGAACUCGGCAAAAUGACCCCGUAACUUCGGGAGAAGGGGUGCUCUUUAGGGUUAACGCCCAGAAGAGCCGCAGUGAAUAGGCCCAAGCGACUGUUUAUCAAAAACACAGGUCUCUGCUAAACCGUAAGGUGAUGUAUAGGGGCUGACGCCUGCCCGGUGCUGGAAGGUUAAGAGGAGUGGUUAGCUUCUGCGAAGCUACGAAUCGAAGCCCCAGUAAACGGCGGCCGUAACUAUAACGGUCCUAAGGUAGCGAAAUUCCUUGUCGGGUAAGUUCCGACCCG
This 1992-nucleotide ribosomal RNA is filed under the name Staphylococcus aureus. RNAcentral describes it as "partial 23S ribosomal RNA". It matches the Rfam family "Bacterial large subunit ribosomal RNA", at positions 1 to 1990 of the family's 2925-position model. The record is from RNAcentral. Lineage: Bacteria; Bacillati; Bacillota; Bacilli; Caryophanales; Staphylococcaceae.